Molecule: non-coding RNA, 94 nt
Organism: Malassezia cuniculi
Lineage: Eukaryota; Fungi; Basidiomycota; Malasseziomycetes; Malasseziales; Malasseziaceae
Source: the annotation of a GenBank genome assembly
UCCCAGUUAGUACAACGGUUAGUAUAUGACGCUCUCAUCGCCUCCUCCAAGGAGUUGAUCCGUCAAGACCCGGGUUCGACUCCCGGAUUGGGAA